CCUACGGGAGGCAGCAGUGGGGAAUAUUGGACAAUGGGGGCAACCCUGAUCCAGCCAUGCCGCGUGUGUGAAGAAGGCCCUCGGGUUGUAAAGCACUUUCAGUGAGGAAGAACGCCUGGUGGUUAAUACCCAUCAGGAAAGACAUCACUCACAGAAGAAGCACCGACUAACUCCGUGCCAGCAGCCGCGGUAAUACGGAGGGUGCGAGCGUUAAUCGGAAUUACUGGGCGUAAAGCGCGCGUAGGUGGCUUGAUAAGCCGGUUGUGAAAGCCCCGGGCUCAACCUGGGAACGGCAUCCGGAACUGUCAAGCUAGAGUGCAGGAGAGGAAGGUAGAAUUCCCGGUGUAGCGGUGAAAUGCGUAGAGAUCGGGAGGAAUACCAGUGGCGAAGGCGGCCUUCUGGACUGACACUGACACUGAGGUGCGAAAGCGUGGGUAGCAAACAGGAUUAGAUACCCUGGUAGUC
Molecule: ribosomal RNA, 465 nt
Filed under: Vreelandella stevensii
Lineage: Bacteria; Pseudomonadati; Pseudomonadota; Gammaproteobacteria; Oceanospirillales; Halomonadaceae
Description: partial 16S ribosomal RNA
Rfam family: Bacterial small subunit ribosomal RNA
Source: RNAcentral